CCUAAAAUUUGGGAUUUACCUGGAGGGAAAAAAAAUCCCCCAAAUUUGGGAUUUUUCUGAUGGAGGAAAAUAUGAAAAAAUUGGGGGGAAAAUUCCUAAAAAUUGGGAAAAAAAUCCCAAAAAUUUGGGGGAAAAAUUCCCCCAAAUUUGUCCUAAAUUUAAGGGGGGGGGGGAGGGGACAGAGCCCUUCAGCCCCUGGGGACAGGUGACAAUGGCAGGUGCCACCAGGUGUGCCCAGGUGCCACCAAACCUGUCCAGAUGCCACCUCAGGUGUGCCCAGGUGCCACCUCACCUGUCCAGGUGCCACCAGCACACAGAAAUGACCGAUGUCACCUCAGUGCCACCUCCUGUCCCCUUCCUAUGCUGUGCCCAGAUGCCACCAGGUGUGCCCAGGUGCCACCAGGUGCCACUGACACUCUGCCACAACGUCCUGUCCUCUCCUGGCGUUGUCCCCAGGUGCCACCAGGUGUGUCCAGCUGUCCCCAG
Molecule: long non-coding RNA, 486 nt
Organism: Melozone crissalis (California towhee)
Lineage: Eukaryota; Metazoa; Chordata; Aves; Passeriformes; Passerellidae
Exons: 5
Source: RefSeq, a predicted model, not a curated record